This 38632-nucleotide long non-coding RNA is filed under the name Cricetulus griseus (Chinese hamster). Its description in RNAcentral is "lncRNA (ENSCGRG00015039935.1)". The record is from RNAcentral. Lineage: Eukaryota; Metazoa; Chordata; Mammalia; Rodentia; Cricetidae.
CCCCUUCCUUCUCCAGCAGCAGGAUGUGAUCCACCAACAAGGAGGGACUCCAAUAAGGCCUCUGAUAAGAUAAGUCUUAUAAAAUAUAUAGAUUUAUGAUAAUUAAGACUGAGCUAGCAGAUGAGAAGUCCUAGUCAUUGGCCAAGCAGCAUUGUACCUAAUACAAAUUUCUGUGUAUUCAUUUGUGUCUAACUCGGGCAGGCGGCUGGCGUAAAGCUCACAUGUGGCGGUGGGGCUCAGGCAGCUUUUGACAGAAAGAUUUAUCGUAACAGUUAUGUAAGGAUUUCAUAUUGCACCAAUUGUUGUGAAGGUAUGAAGUAGACAGAAACAUGGGACUCAGAAUAAAAAAAUGAAAUUCAAAGCUGAUCCACGUCAGGAAUCCAAGACCACAUUAUCGCACUCUGUGAGUAGAGAAUAAAGAUAGUUAAUCUCACACAAAGUAGAACUAAAAGAAAUUGAUCAUUGUUGAAGGCAGUUGUUUAUUCUUCAUUAAAUCAAUGAUUCCUGACUCCUGAACUAAACUGAGUUCAAAUUAGGUUUGGGGCUUUACUUUGUGUUGCAGUUAGGGUUUCUAUUGCUGCCAUGAAACACCAUGACAAAAAAAGCAAGUUGGGGAGGAAAGGGUUUAUUAGGCUUACAUUUCAAUAUUGCUGUUCAUCACUAAAGGGGGGGGGUGUUGAGGCAGGAACUGAUGCUUAGGCCAUGGAGGGAAGCUUCUUACUUCCCAUGGCUUGUUUAGUUGACUUUCUUAUGGAACCCAGGACCAGCAGACAAGGGUUGGCACCACCCACUGUGGGGUAGGUCCUCCCCUAUUGGUCACUAAAUGAGAAAAUGCCUUACAGCUUCUUUCUUUGCCGAUUCUAGCUUGUGUCAAUCUGACACACAAGACCAGCCAGUAAUACUUUGUCUCUCAAUGUUUCAGUCCUCAUAAUAAGAAUAUUAAUAUUACCUAGUUUCCGGCAAUAUGUGGAAUUUUUUUUUUAUAACACUGUCUACCAGUCACAGCAUAAACCAUCUCCAAAAAGUGUUACUGCCCGGGGAACUUGAUCAGGUUUAUUUUCUCUUCUACUUAAGGAAUUAAAAGCAGGAAAAGUCAGGAGCCCAACAUGUAGCCUCGGGGAACCUCUUCAGCAGAGCCAAGAAAAUACAGUAGUGAAGAAAGGCUUCUAUUAGGGGCAAGGAUCACUAGUAAACAUAGCACAAGCAUAGAAAGACCCUCUGAAAGGCAGAGGAAUGACCCAGGAGGCCAGAAACACGGGAUCUCGUUAAGGGCUGGGGUUCUUGAAAUUUCUGAAGGUUUUCUAACCUAUUUAGGUUUGGUUAGUUUGAAUAAAGACAGUAUGACUGGUAAGCACAACUGGGAUAAACAUGUCCAGAUCUGAUCCUGAACUCUAAUGCUGGGCAAUAUCAUAGGAUGGUGGUCCAACAGUUGGAGAAAUAACCUUUACCAGGCCUUUGUUUUAAGCUACCAGGCUUUUGUGUCAGGUCAUGGGAGUGAGGAAGAAGCCAGCCAUCUUGGAAUUUCAACACAGUUACUGCCUAUUCAUGUCCCCUCUUCCUGUCUUCCUAUCAGGGAAUCUGUUUAAUUCCUAGUCCCUCAAUGUAGCAAAUUCUUGAUAAAUAAUAGAUAUUGUUGUUUAAUAUUUGGGUAGUCAGCUUUUAUUGUUAUAAAUAAUAUGUGAUGAUUUGCAGUAGUUAUUUAUGUAUUAUAUAUUAUACAUGCUAUUAUUAAUACUAGACAAUUCCUAAAAUUAAAAUAUUAUGGCUAUAUUUUCAUAGGAUUUUGGUCGUGUUAGAACAAGACAAUAAGACGUAUUAGUUUUUCUUGAAGACGGUUUUUUUCUUUUGUUUUUUUGAGACAGGAUUUUUCUAUGUAACAGCCCUGGCUGUCCUAGAAAUCACUUUGUAGAGCAGGCUGGCCUUGAACUCAUAGAGGUCUGCCUGCCUCUGCCUCCCAAGUUCUGGGAUUAAAGUCAUGCCCCAACUCACCUGUCUAAAAGUGAUUUUUAAAUUAAUUAAUUAAUUAAUUAUUUUAACCUAGGGUUAUAUUUUGUCAACCAUCUUAACUUUAAACUUAUUAUGAAGGCAAGGCUCACAUCAAAUUUGUAAUUCCCCUGUCUCUGUGCCCUGAGUUCAAGAUAGAUAGUGUGCUCACCAUGCCUGACUCAAGAGUCUUAUAGCUUAGGACUAAAUGUAAAAAUUAGUUAAUCAAUUCACCCUCUAAUAAUAAAAUCAGCUUGGUGGAUUAGCUCAAAAAAAAAAAAAACCAAAAAAACAAAAACAGAUUCAGCCGUCCUUGGGAAGAAGAAGAGGCAGAUCUCUGUGAGUUUGAGGUCAUCCUGGUCUGCAAAACCAGUUUCAGGAAAACUCCAAAACAAUACAGGGAAACCCUGUCUGGAAAAACCAGAGGGGAGGGAGAGGAAGAGAGAGAGAGAGGAAGAGAGUGAGAGAGAGAAUGGUCACUGGAGUGGUCAAGAAUUGAAGAACUAAGACACUUGAAUUUUGACAAAGAACCUGUAAAUACAGAGUGAAGAAAAUACAGCAUCUUCAAUGAGUGGUGUUCAUCAAACUAGAUGUCUGUGUGCCCUGUGAAAAACUCAAUUCCACAUGGAUCAGGUACUUCAACAUAAGGCUGUACUCUGAAACUGAUGGAACAAGAAGUGGAGAAUAGGCUUGAACUCAUUGGCACAGGAAAGCACUUUCUGAACAGGAUACUAAUUGCAUAUUCACUAAGAUCAACGACCAAUAAAUAGAACUCAGAAAGCUGAAAAUCUUCUGUAUGAAAAAGGACAGCAUUAUUUGAGCAAAGGAGCAGGCUACAGAUUGGAAAAUACUUUAUCAACUAUGUAUAGGAAAGAGGUUUAGUACUUGGAAUAUAUAAAGAACUGAGAAACAAAUUUCUAGAAAAUGAAUAGCCAAAUGUCAAAAUGGAGUGUAGAACUAAGCAGAGAAGUUGCAAAAUAUGAAACACAUAUAGCUGAGAAACACUUAAGAAAACUUUGUCAUCGCUGGUGAGAGUGCAAACUGCUACAGCCCCUAGGAAAAUUCCUCAAGGAGAUGAAAAUCUAUCUCCCCAAACUCCUUGGAAAAAUCCCCAAAGACUCUACAUCUUACUACAAAGAUACUUGCCUAUUCAUGUUUAUUAGUGCUAUAUUUAUAAUAGCCAGAAAUUAGGAAAUAUUCUAGAAUCUAUCAAUUGAUAAGUGGAUAAUAAAGUUGUGGUGCAUUUACAUAGUAGAAUAUUAAGCUGUUAAGAAAGCGAAAAUUAUCAAUUUGUCAGGUAAAUGAGUGAAAGUAUAAACAAACAUCCUGAAUGAGGUAACCCAGACCCAAAAAGACAUGCAUUAGAUGUUUUCUCUUAUUUGUGGACAUUGUCUUUGAAACUUUGUGUGUGUGUGUGUGUGUGUGUUUUCAAUGUGAAUAACCACAGAGGUUAGGUUAUUAAUAAAGGACCAGUGGGGAGGAGGGGAUCUUUUAAGUAAGAGGAAAUAGUGUUAUAAAAUAAUGAAUGGGAAAAUAGAAUAAAAGGAUUAAGUAGGGAGUAGAAGGGAGUAUGGGUAAAGGAAGGAUUAUGGGAAGGAAUAACUAACAAAAGAGGCUUUUUGAAAAGCCAUAUGAAAAUUUAGUACUAUAGAGGCUUCAUAUAGAUAGAUGUACAUUAUAUACAUAUAUAUAUAUAUAUAUAUAUAUGUAUAUAUAUAUAUUGUGUGUGUGUGUGUGUGUGUGUGUGUGAGAGAGAGAGAGAGAGAGAGAGAGAGAGAGAGAGAGAGAGAGACAGAUUUAAGUAGAGUCAUCCCUAAUGAGGGAGUCAAUGCCCCAACUAAACAUAUUAUGCUACCGAGUAAAACCUCCAGAGUCAGAAAUAGGUUACAACUUUAAAGGCACUGACCAAGACAGUCCCAUAAAUGCCUCCUCAUGUAUUAGAAGCUAUGGUCAAUGCUAUUAGUUAUACUCCCACAACCUGAUGUUAAUGUCCUAUUGCUGAAGAUAUGAGUUACUUAUGUCAUUGAAGAUGGAGAAAUCAAAGCUGGUGUCAAGCUAGAAGCUCCAGCCCUACUGACUGCCAUGUGUGGUACUGGAAGGUAUCUUUGCACACUACUAGAGGAGAAAAGUAAUCACAAAUAUUAUCCAGCAAUAAACCUUGAAACCUAGCCCAGGCUGUGGUUGUGUACACCUUUAAUCCUGGCACUCAGGAGGCAGAGGCAGGCAGAUCUCUGAGUUCAAGGCCAGCCUGGUCUACAAAGCUACACAUUGAAACCCUGUAUCAAAAAAACAAAACAAAACAAACAAACAAACAAACAAAAGCCCUUGAAACCUAAAUCACAAAACUAUUUUCAAGAGACAUUGUUGCAUUUGUGGCACAUAUAUUAUGUGGGUAACCAAAUUUUCUUUCCUGGACUUAAAGCCCACUCCAUGACAUGAAACCCAUACAGGACAUGACUAAAAUGGUCAAUAGCUAAAUAACUGAAACUAAAUAGAUCAUGGACUCUAUGGGAAAAACUAAUAUUGGUUCUCAACUUGUGGUCACAACCAUCCAAAAAGACAUAUUUCUGAUAGUCUUAGGUAUAGUAGCAUCUCGCCUUGCCAGUGAAUAUGUAUUAGUGACCACACCCCUUUGGGCAUGACUUCAGGUGCAGACAUGACCAGAAGGUAGAGAAGUGGGGGCAGGCACUCUCUCUUGGGUCUUGGAGAGCAUUGGAAGGGCAGAGACUAUAUCUUCUGGAGCAGGAAUGCCAUGGUGUUUCUUUACUAUUAUCUGUGUAAGUUGUUCCCCAAUAAAACACCCAUUUAUCAUUAAAAGAAAAGAAAUAGAGUAGCUGGGUGUGGUGGCACAUGCCUUUAAUCCCAACACUAGGGAGGCAGAAGGAAGAAAAUUGGAGAUGAUGGGGGAUGUCCUUCUGUAUAUGUUUCUCUUAUGCUUUGAUAAAUUAAACACUGAUUGGCUGAUAGAGGCAGGAAGAUAGGUGGGGCUAGGAAGCCAGGAGAAUUCUGGGGGAGAAGGCAGAGAGAGGCGGGCGGGGGGGGGGGGGACAUGACGACAACGACGACACCAUGCUGCUGAAGGAGUAACAUGCUGGAUUAUUGGUAAGCCACAGCCACUUGACAAUACAUAGAUUAAUAGAAAAGGGUUAAUAAGUAAGACAAAACUAGCCAAAUAAGAAGUCCUAGCCAUUGAUCAACAGUUUAUAAAUUAAUAUAAGUCUUGUGUGUAUAUCUGGGCCUAAAUGGCUGUGGGACCAGGCUGGAAUGAAACUCCAGCAAUACUUUGGCAUCCCCAAUAAUGAAUUUAUUUUUGAUGCUACUUCAAAACUGUAAUUUUGCUACCAAAUAGUGUCUCAGUUCCUUAGAACAUUUGAAAUACGUGUUUUCCAAUGGUUGUGACCCAUAGGUUGAGAACAACUGUGGCAAACAAACAAAGCAAUAAAAUGCUUCCUAAUGACAUUAUGCUACCUCAUGAAUCAGUUCAUCGCUCAACCUUUAGUAGAACUUCUUUUCCUUCAGUAAUGGUGAUUAACUAAAAGAAUCACAAGUGGACAAGAUGCAGAGAUUUUGAUUGAAUAACUCGCGUUUGGAACAAUAAGCCCCAAAGGAGAUGUUUUUUAGCAAACCCCUGUCUUCAAGUCUCAUUGUUCUAUGUAGAUGAGGUGGUAGAAAAAGUGUAAGAGCCAGAGGUUUUAGAUGACUCCAAAGAAACUGUCUUCCAAAUACUAUACAUUUGGUGCAUACAUAUAUGUACACAGAGACUGUGACAUCCUUGCAAAGACACAUAGACUUUCAAACCAGACAAAAUGUCAGCCUAAAGAUGGAGAAGCACACACAGAGUCCCACACCUAAGCAAGAAGCUAUUUGCAAUUGGUACCUUCUGUGAAAAGUAAAAUCAUGUUUAUGGAAUGAUGUGCCCUGGGUAUAUAUAUCAACCAUACCCUAGAGCAGGCCCCAUGCCCUGGAAGAAUUGGCCAACACAAAGCAGACUCCAUGUUUGUUUUUUAAAUAUAUACAUUUUUAUUUAAUUUAGAAACAAUCUUAUUUCACAUAUCAAUAUACCAAUUCUCUCUCCCCCCCCAUCUUGAAAUGUCCCCGAUGACACCCCAAUUGCACCUCCCCAUUCACUCUCCAGGGAGAGUGAGGCAUUCCAUCGGGGAAUCAUCAAUGUCUGUCACAUCAUUUGGGGCAUCCUUAUAGGGAAUUGGCUCCCAAAUUUCAUGCACUAAGGAUAAAUACUGGUUCCACUGCCAGAGGCCCCAUAGACUGCCCAGGCCUCCUAGCUGACACCCAUGUUCAGGGGGCCUGGUUCAGUCCACUGCUGGUUCCCCAGCUAUCAAACUGAGGUCCAUGAGAUUUAUGUUUUAUGCAUGCUGUUUCAUAUUUUUAAAUUUUUUUUCAUAAUUUGUUUUAUUUAUGAUUUUUUGGUGUUGUAUGUUUCUGAGUUGGGGAAAGAACAUGAAAUUGGGUAGGAAGUGGGGUAAGGGGAGGGAUCUGGGAGGUACUGAGGGGAGAAAUAGAAUAUCAUCAAAAUGUAGAGUAUGAAAAAUAAUUUUAGUAAAAAAUAAAAAUAGAAAAAUAACUCAGAAGAAAUCAUUUCCAUUUAGUUAGUUUUACAUGUUUAUAAUCCUUUUUAUUUUUAUAUUUUUAUUUACAUGUAUAUACUCUUUUAUUUUUAUAAUUUUGAUUACAUCUACAAAUGGAUCAAACAGCCCCCUUGUGUAAGCACAACUGUGUUUUUAUGUGAUUAAAUACAUUUUUAAAUUGAGAAAUAAAUUAUUCAUUAAAGUUAUUUUUGAGAGAAAAAUCAAGUUUCUUGGCUCAUGAACUGUUACAAUGCCAACAUAUACUUCAAGUUUAUUUAAACAUGUAAAAGCAAAAAGUGAAAAAAGCAAAAACGAGCUACAAGAAAAUAGAAGCAAAUUUUGUUUCAUUCAUUAUCAGGUCAAAAACUUUCACCUUCUUUCCAAAAUGUACAGAAUUUGUAAACAUAAAUGCCAAUAAGCUUGGCAAUAUAAAAUAAAGUAAUUUCGAUGCAAAUGUGUCCCAUAAGUAAGCUAUAAGGCAAUUUAGAAUCUGGGAACAUAUGGGCUACCAAUGUACCAAACACUGGGUUACUGUCUUAUGUAAAGAGGGCUUAAAAUAGAUGGGGGAAAAUGAUAUACCAAUAUAAAGAUCAUGAACAAAUCAUUCUCCAAACAUUCACUUCAUUAAUAAUAAAGGAGAUGAAAGCUAAGACAUCGUUUUAAUUUUACAAUGUGAAAUUCACUAAAAAUUGUAAACAUAAUUCUCAAUUUGACUGAAGAAAAACCCGAAUAGUCACUGUCCUGCACUCUUAUUGAGGGUGUUCUUGGUGGGAAAUUAAUCCCUUGAAAAGUAGGUUAAGAAGUUUAAUAGAUCCUCAAUUUGCCUGUUUUUUUGUUUUUGUUUUUGUUUUUGUUUUUGUUUUUGUUUUUGUUUUCCAAGACAGUUUCCCUGUGGCUUUGGAGGCUGUCCUGGAACUAAUUCUUUUAGACCAGGAUGGUCUCAAACUCACAGAGAUCCUCCUGCCUCUGCCUCCCGAGUGCUGGGAUUAAAGGCAUGCACCACCAAUGCCCAGCUACUUUGCAUUUUUUUUUCACUGUAGUUUUCUGCAAUAAAGUUAUCAGAUAGAAAUGCAUGUACUUGAGCUUUAUAUUUAAUAAAAUUCAACAAAAUAUUAUUUAGUUAUGUUAUUAUUUAAUCAUUUUAGAAUUUAUUUUGUGAUAUUUAAUAUUGAACCCCCUAUUUUGUGCACACUAGUGAAAUGCUCUGGUGUCAACCUAUAUUUCACCCAUAUCAGAUUUUAAUUUAGAAAAGAAAAUACUGACUUUAUACCCACAGGUUUGUGUAGUCCUCACCCCUCAUUGAAAGUGCUUCUCUGCAACAGAGUGAAACUAUUACAUGAAACCACAACAAACAAAACUGCAGUGUCGUGGAAUCCAGUCACAAAGGCAACAUCUACAAAACAACUGCUUCCACCUGUGGCUCCAGGAACACUUGGAAAGAGGUCAGGAAGCCUGUAAGAGCCAGGGAGUUUUCUAUGAGAUUAUGUUUUCUGUAAUAUUAGAAGCCAUCCUUGUGAAGCCUCACCAGCAUGACUUCCCAGAAGUCAAAUAAAUAAGGGUGACACCAACAGACAUGCCAAAGUGCAUGGGGAAAGACCACAGGCAAUUGAAGAAUGCUCAGAAUGGAAGAAAUAGUGUUUCCAUAAGGAAGACCAUUCCAAAUAGUUAUCAAAUAUCACAUUGUCAUCCCUGAAAAGAUACAUACAAGUAAUAAUUGUACAGACUUUAUAUGUUGUAUUUAGAAAUAUAUACGUACAUUGUAUGUAUGUAUCUAUGUAUAUGUAUAUACAUGCAUGUGUAUAUGCAUGUAUAUGUGUAUAGACGCAUGCAUGUAACAGCUAUUGAAAAUUGAGGCCAGCCAUAAGGUUGAAGGAGAGGGAAAUGUAAGAGUUUGGAAUGAAGAAAGGGAAAAGGAGAAAUAAACUAAUCACAUUAUAAUUUAAAAAUAAUGAAAAUACUAAGAACAAUUUCAAUAUAAUGGUAAACACUUUACAGAAUAUAAGUAAAAUAAAACUAUGCAUCCUAUCUAUGGGAAUUAUAUUUCAAAGACCAUUAGUGACACAUAAAUAUAUAUAUAUUUUUGCAGAUGUUUUUUAUUUGAAUUAGAAACAAGAUUGUUUUACAUGUCAAUUCCAGUUCCCUCUCCCUCCCCUCCUCCCCUACCAACCCCCCAACUAAAACCUUACCUAUCACAUAUCCUUUCUGCUCCCCAGGGACGGUGAGGCCUUCCAUAGGGUGUCAUCAGAGUCUAUUGUAUCCUGUGGGAUAGGGGCUAGGCCCACCCCAGUGUGUCUUGGCUCAGAGAAUAUCCCUCUAUGUGGAAUGGGCUCCCAAAGUCCACACCUAUGCUAGGGAUAACUACUGAACUACUACAGGAUGUCCCGUAGAUUUCCGAGGUUUCCUCACUGAAACUCAUGUUCCUCCACUCUGGAUCAACCCCAUGCUGGUAUCCCAGCUAUCAGUCUGGGGGCCAAGAGCUCCCAUAUGCUCAGAUCAGCUGUUUCUGUGUGUUUCACCAGCCUGGUCUGGACCCCUUUGCUCAUUACCCGUCCUUCUUUGCAACUGGAUUCCCGUUCAGUUCAGUGAUUAGUUGUGGGUGUCUGCUUCUACUUCCACCAGCUGCCUGAUUUCUCUGUGAACCUAAAAUGUCUCCCUCUAAUAUGUUAUCUCCUUUCUUGUUUUCUUCUAUUCUUCCCCUGACUCAACCUUUCUAUAUUAUAUAAUCUUUAGUGAAAGAAGGAUUAUCAAUUACAAGUAUUUGAUCCUGUGUUUAGUUACCACUGCAAUACAUUUGGACUAAUAUUAGAACUUUUAUUCUAUUCUUUUGAACUCUACCAUUUUGUCUCCCUGGCAUCCAGCCAGGGGACAUCUUGGGGCUGUGUCUCCCCACAAUCUUCUACUCAAAGUAAUGAGAUAUUACACCAUCAUACUAAUAUGUUUGAACUUUUCAGAAUUACAUACUAGUAAAUGUUGCCUAACAACCUUAUUUUAUAGUUUUCAGUGAAAUAAUGAAAAGACUAUACAUGAUACUUCAAGUUUCAGAGGAGGGUCUUUGGAGAUGCUUCUGUUUUAAAUAACCCUCUCACAUAACAAAUACUCUAAACUCUGAGUUAAUUGUGAACAUGGGCAUCUCAAAUAACUAACCUGUGGUGAGUCUUUUCCCCAGGUAGGUGGUAGGGGGUGGCAAGGAGGGGAGAUCAGGCAGAUGGAAACUUAGUGAAGAACAACUACAGAAGAUGUCACUGUGGGCCCCCUAUUUUUGUACUGAAUUUUCAAGAGUGGAUGUGAGGACUUGAAAAUAGAUCUUAUGAGCUUCCAAGUGGCAGGGAUACAGGGCCUCUGGUUCUCCCAUCCCUGUGUUUGGCUUUCCAGCUCAUCUGCCAGGUACCUGAUCCAAUGUGUGUAAUGCCUCUAUUAUUUUCAUCACUUCCUGGGGAUAUUUCCUCAGGGUCUAAAGUGUGAUCCACUACCAUGUUGUAUGCUCUGUUUAUUGCAGAGCAAAACGAAGCAUGCCCGGCAGCAUCUGAAAACAAUUAAAAAAUAAUUGAAAUGAGCUGUGGUCUCUACUCGACUCAUUAAGAAUUUUAUUUCAUCUUCCACACAUUGGAGAGAUUCAGAUCUGAACUUCCUAUCCUGCUGGCCCCCCUGCUGGCUCAAGAGUUCCCUUGCCAGGGGCAGAAAAAGGACCAUCAGUUUCUGUACGGAGACUGUUCUCCAAAUGACCAGGCAGGGAAAAGUCUUGAUGGCUGCCAAGAGACUUCAGUGGGAGGAGACAUCUCUCUGCUUGCUGCCUUUGAGCAGCUGCUCUAUGAAUUAAUAAACAUCACUGUGGAUAUGCACACAUUCUUAUUAAGAAUCCACAAACACAUUAAUCAGGCUACAAACAUGCAACUCAGGAAAUUAAAGUUAGCUUUCGAUUGCCUUUCUCCAAGAGAAAGUCAGAGACCCAGUAAGAAUAAGAAAAACCAACUGGCAAAAAGGACAGAGAAGAGAUGGAAAGAUUUUAACACCUUAUAUUAAGAGAGGAGACAAUGGAAAGUUUGGAAAAACUCCAGUAAGACAAUACAAUAAGUUAUUUCAAAAGUUCUUAGUGUCCUUAUUAAUUAACAUAAUGGUUAAAUGCAUUAAAAUAUAUAUUACAACGUCUUUCAUGGUUUUAUAUCAAAAUAUUAGGCAGUAUUUUCUACAAUAUAUAACAGUAUCCCAGGAUUUACUCAUCCCACUUCUGUGAGUGUGUGUGUGUGUGUGUGUGUGUGUGGUGUGUAUGCUCCAGUAUGUGCUCACAAGCACACACACAUGCGCACACCUCGAAAAUUUAGCUGAGAGGUAAUUAUUCUUGAAAGAUAUUUAACAUGAUUUAGUGAUAGGUUUGAGGAAAUGAGAAUAGCUCUCAGCAUGUAGGAUGAUUUAGAUGUGAGCUUGGAAUAAUGUGCAUAUAAGAAAGAUAAAGGUGGUAUUUUAUUAAAGCUAUGGUACUUGUGCGAAAUCAUUCUGUAGACGGCACUGUGCAUUUGCAUUCUUCAUAGAAAAGAGACUGGCAAGCUUCAAAGUACAAUUGACCUUUCAAUUUUCUCUAUUUCAGAACGAUCUGAUUACCCCUAGGCUCAUCCUAAAAUGUUCUUACCCUGUCAACUGCAGAACAUUGAUAUCAUUGUUGGUUCUUAGAAACCAUGCUGAUGGAGCUAGGAGAGUUACAAUCCCCUUAGUUUUUUCUAAAAUUUUUGUAUGUUAAUUCAGUGCACAGAAAGCAAAUUUUUCUUAUGUAACAAUCCUUUAAUUUUAUGUAAAUUUUCUUUUUUCUCAUUUUUUUAAAUUUUAAACAAUCUUCUCUCAUUUUUACAUAGCAAUUCCAGUUCCCACUCCCUUCCCUCCUCCUAGUUCCUCCACCUUCCCCCCUCCCCACCCCCAUUCUCUCUUCAGAGAGAGUAAGGCUUCCCUUAGGGAGUCAAAAAAUCUGGCACAUCGUUUUGAGGCAGGACCAAGGCUGUCUCACUUAUAUCUAGGCUGAGCAAGGUAUCCCUCCAAAGAGAAUGGGCUCCAAAAAGUAAGUUCAAGCACUAGGGAUAAAUCCUGGUCUUCAAGGAUUUCUAUGAGUCUUUGAAUUAGAAAAUGCCACAUCCUUUACUUCAUUGUCUUUUUCUUUUCUUUUUUUGAGACAUUCUCUCUACAUUGUCUGUCCUGGAACUUACUAUGUAGAAUAGGGUGGCUUCGAACUCACAGAGAUGUAGUUAUAUUUAGCUUUUACAAAUAAAAGCCUAUCUGAAUGUCAGGGAAAGGUGCUUGCCACUAGCUAACCACAGACCUCCAGACCAUUAUGGUUAGCUAGUGGAAAGCUCCAUUCUCUGAACUUCAAACAGCCUUUAUUUGUAUAAUCAAAAUAUCACCAGAGAUCUGCAUGUCUCUGUCUCCUGAGGAAGGAAACUUUUUUCUCUUCUUCUAGACCUAAUGUUUAUGUCCAUUGUAUCCAGCACUCAGUAAAUACUAUGUGUCAGUAACAACUCUUAGUAGUUUAUGCAUACUUCCUAAUAUAACCAAGUAAGCUGUGAAGUAGGUUAGCAUUAUAAUUUUGAUAUUUUAAGAGAAAAGUACAAUUAAGUAAUAAUGGAAUAACUUGUUUUAGCAAGAACUGAAGGCGUAAGAAGGACUCAGACCCUAAUGGCCCAAGCCGUAUAUCUGUUUUGUUAGUCAUAAUACCUACUGCUGAAGUGUGUCCUAUACAUUCAUUAUGAGUCAGUUUUAUGUGCCCUGUCCAGGAGAAGAGAGAUCAUUUUCAUACUCAAAAAGUUAAGCAUUCAAAAAGAUAAAUAUCAGCAACCCAGAGAAUGAGGAUUAGCUGUAAAGGAUUAGAUUUAAUACAUUAUUAGUAAACUUAAUAGUUCGCAGUUUAACUUCUAGUUGUGUCAUUCCUCUGCCUUCUAGGCCUCUAGCCAAUACUAAUUUCCAUGUCUGCAUGAGACAGCAACCCCCUACCGAGGGAGCUUGAAAUGAUUUUGUGAUGAGUAUGGCUCCUCCAUUGUAUUCCUUGCAUGACAAAUUUCACUUUUAAAUUGUUCAGAGAUUAGAAGAAAACAGCAACCAAGUCUGUAUAAAAAGAAUAUAAAGCAAAAAUUAUUACGUUUUCCUAAAGGUUUUUUUUAAGGAAUUUUUUAUAACUAUCUUCUUCUUACUAUGUAACACAGAUGUCUCACUAACAGUUACAGUCCCUUUAAAUUCCACUUAUGUGAAAAGGACUCCUGCUGUCACUUGCAAAACAAAACAAUACAAAACAAACAAAACAGGGUUCUUAAAUGUAAGAAGAAAUACUGCAAUAAGUUACCAGGCCUAUGGUAAUCUAUUUUUAUGACAUGAACUUUUUCAGACAAAAAGACAACUGAAAAAUACCUGUGAAUAAAUGAUUACUUGUUUUGAAGAAUCUGAUAUGGACAUUAAAUUAUAAAUGUACAUAUGUGCAUAUAGCUACAUAUUUUUGCAUAGAAAAGCAGAUACAUAUAUGCACACUCACAUAAGCACUCAUCCUUUGGCAGAGUUUGUGAUACUUAUGAAAAUGACUAAAAUAGCCAAGGUUCUAUAUUAUGUCUGUAUGACAACCUACAGGGGGAAAAAGAGACACUGAAUUCACAUUCUAAAUCAAGCAUUUUAAAAAAGCUUUCAUUUUUGACACAUUAUUAUGAUUUCCCUCUCAGCAGUUCCCUGCCUCUGUGCUGACCCAACUUGAAUCUCUCUCUUCCUCUCUCCCUCUCCCCCUCUCUUUCUCCCAAACAUACAACUCCAGAGAGCCCUCUCAUACUUCCUUCCAAACCCAGCUUCCUUCCUUGGUGACAGCUAUUGGUCCUCAACAGCACUUUCUACCAGGGACCCCUAGAGAUGUCCAAUAGCUGGGACAGAGGUAAGGGCUUCUCAGUGUUCUUCCUGCUCUCUCUUAUGCAUAGAUUUACCCUCAGUCCUUAGCAGCAAUGUGCUUGCAGGAGCUUCUCCUUCAGGCCCAACUCCAUUCACUGGGAACUCCUCUCCUGGUGCAGAAUGCAGUAGACAUAGCCCUUUUAUUCCUAUCGCUCCAUAAUAUUGUUUAUCUUACUGCAGCCUGCUUGCAGGAACUGUCAUCCUACCACACCUAUCCUCCCUAUAUACUCUGGCUCCUUCUGUGACAAGAUCCACUACCUCUUUCUUACAGCCCUUCUCAGCCUUUCCUGUAAGACCAUCUCCAUCUCUUUCUACCACUCACAAAUCAGCAGAAGCACUCUCCAGCAGUAAUUCCAAAGCCCAAAGCCACCACAUUUGCCUAGCAUCCAGAGAUGGUUAAAAAAAAAAAACCAAGGCAGUAGCACACUUAUCCAAAAUAUUCAAAACCACUUAUCACCACCAAGAAAAGCCUCAAACAUCAUAAUUUCAUAACUCCAGAACCUUAGACCUCAGCAAACAAAGAAACAAACAAAGACAAGAACAACAAACAAACAAGCUUGAAUAGGCAAAACAAUACACUUUCAUUCUACCAAAUCCCAGGCAAAGUUGUGAGAAAUGCAAUAUAGCUGAAGCACAAGUCAAAGAUUGUCUUUUCCCACCACAAUUGAACUGCCUGUGUACCCCACAUUUAGGUGGGAACAGGAUCCCCUUAGUUCUUACCCAAAGCCUCUCUCUACUAUGUUUCCUAGCUCAACUCUGUUCCUUUCUGAUAUCCAAAGAUCACCAAGUGGAUAAAAGCCCUCAACAUAAAACCUGAUACACUGAACCUGUUAGAAGAGAUAUUGGUAAUAGCCAUGAACUCAUAGACACACAAAAAAAUCUUUCUAAACCUAAUGUAGUUAGUGCAGGGACUAAGAUCAAUAGCUAAUAAUUGAGACCUCGUAGCACUAAAAAGCUUCAUCACAGCAAAGAACACUGUCAUUCAGACAAAUCAGUACCCAACAGAAUUGGAAAAUAUUUUUCCCAAUCCUGCAUCCAAUAGAGGAACAAUAUUCAAAAUAUAUAAGUAACUGAAUAAACUAGAUAUAAAAAAAAACAACAAAUUAUCCAACCAAGGGUUACAGAUCUCAACAGAGAAUUCACAAUAGAGGAAUCUCAAAUGUUGAACAUCCUUAAUCAUCAGAGAAAUUCAAUCAAAACUACUUUGAGGUUCUAUCUUACAUCUGUCAAAAUGGCUAAGAUUAAUAACACAAGUGACCGCUCAUGCUGGUAAGGAUGUCGAGCAGGAGGAGCACUCCUCCAUUGCUGCUGGGAAUACAAACUUGUACACCCACUAUGGAAAUCAAUAUGGUAGUUUGCUCAUGAAGUUGGGACCCAGCUAUACCACUCUUGGAUAUAUAGUAAAAGGAUGCUCUAUACCAUCACAAUCAACUUGUCUCCCAAUAGAAGAGUGGACAAACUUAAUUUUGUUCAUUGAACAAUGAAAUAUUAUGCAGUUGUUAAAAAUGACAUCAUGAAAUUUGUAGGCAAAUGGAUGAAACUAGAAACAAUCAUGUGAGUCAGGUAAAACAGACCCAGAAAGACAAAAAUGAUAUGUAUUAACUUACGAGUAGACAUUAGCUAUUAAAUAAAUAACCAAGCUACAAUCUGUAGACCCAAGAGUUUAGAUAAAGUGGAAAGUUAUGGAGGGGGACAUGGAUCUCCCUGGCAAGGGAAAACAGAAUAUACUUUAAAGGUGGGUUUGGUGUGGGUGGGGACGGGAGCAGCAGCAGGAGCAGGAGGGCUAAGUUGGGGGUUGGGGAUGAUAAAAUGGAGGGAGACAGUGUGGGGAAAGAUACUUGUAAAUGGUGUGUGGUGCGUGGCAUUUGGGGAGUGGUGUGGAAACCUAGUGCAGUGGAAACAUCCUGGAGGGUGAUCCUAAUGAGUGAUCACAGUAAUGAGGGUUACAGAGUCUCAGCUGGCCAGCUCAAGGGCGUUUGUUGCAUUCAGUUGAGCUGUUGGCCAAGGGGAUUCUGUAGAGAUCUCCAACAACCCAGACUGAUGUUAAUACAAAAGGUUGUUUUCAGUAAACUGACUGUGGGGCCACAUUGCAGAGGACAAAAUCCACAAAAUUUAUUGAACAUGGAGAAGUCGAGCUCCAUUAUGGUCUCUGGUGCAGACAGGUUUUAUGGUCUCUGUAGGCUAUCAAAAGAUAAAAAUGGAUACCAACCACAGCACAAAACCUUUGAACUAACAUCUGUCCCGCCUGCAAAUUAUGCUAGAGUGAUGGUAGCAGAGAACUUGUGGGAGUAGCCAACCAAUGUCUGAUUUGACUUAGGGCCCAGUCCAUGAGAAGGAACUCAUACCUGACACCACUUAGGUAACCAAAAACCAGAGACUAGAUAGUGCAGAGACCUAGAGUAAAAUCAAAUAUGACUGGUCUUAAAAUAAUGAAUCUUUGUAAUGACAUUCUGUUAUACUCAAAAAUCAGUGUCUUAUCCAGUCAUCAUCAGAGAGGUUUUAGAGUGGAUUUUGUUUGUGUUUCUUGUUUCUUUCAUUAUUUUUUGUUUGUUUUUAAAAUCAAGAGCAAGAAAGGGUGUGCUUAUUGGUUGAGGAUGUAGGGAGGAUCUGGGAGGAGGUGGGGGAAAAGAAAGCAUGAUCCAUACAUAAUGUAUAUAUUUUAAAAAUAUAAAGUAAAUAAUGUGAGAAAAGAAAUAAAAGCCUACAAAGAGCACACAAACGCAUACACACUCACAUAUACAAGCACUAAAAAAAAUGCCAGAAACCAAAAAUAAAAAAAUUAACGAGAAAUAAAGUAAGACGAAAAUAUCAAAACAAAGAAAUCCCACAAAAAUAGGGUUUGUUUUUGUUGGCCCGUUCUUGAACAUGGGAUCUAACCAGAGUAUGACUGACAGAACCACUGACACAUCAUUGAAGAUAAUUUUCCUUUUUCCUAAAGGCACUAACUGAAAAUAGCUUUUAUUUUAGGGGUUGUAUUUUGUGUCCAAGUAACAUUUUUUUUGGUUGGGAUUUUGUCUAGUUUGAAGCUAUAUUUGUCUUGGUUAUACUGUCAUAGUUCUGUCACUCUGUGAGUUUCUAUUUGUAUAAGUCCUAUUGUACUAUAAAAUACUAUUUCCUAGGAGUCAUCCAAAGCUUUGGCUCUGCUUUUUAUUUUGUUUUGUUGUUUUGUUUUUUUUUUAUUGUUGUAUUGUUUCUCUGCAUAAUCCUGGCUGUUCUGGAACUUACUUUCUACCUACCUCUGCUUCCCAAGCACUGGGAUUACAGGUCUGUGCCACCAUUACCAGGACCACUUUUGGCUCUUACAAUCUUUCUGCUGACUCUUCUGCAUAAAUACUUGAGAGGAGGGGCUUUAUGAGAACAUGCUAUUUAGGAACAGUAGACAGGAAUAAAAUGUGUUCAGAAUUGACAUUUUCUAUAAUUUGAUUUGUUUUCAUUAAUCCAAUUAAUAUUAGCAAAUACUUUCAAUAUGGGUGAUGGAUGCUAUUGAUGCAACAAAAAUUCUCAUAAAAAUGAAGGAGGGUGAAUGGUAGAUAAUGGCACAUACUCAUUAAUUUUUAUGUGUAAAAUAAUAUUUAAACUUUCUAUAUUUGAGAUUUUGCUCUUCAAAUUCAUUAUAGGAAAUACUUGUCAGAGAUUUAUAUGGCCCGAGACAAAUUCCUUUUCUAUUUCUGUUUUGAUUAUUUAGUAGGAGAUCUCAUUUCUAUGAUGAUGAAUGUAUUUAAGUUUGAAAAGUUUAGUAACCUAGCAACUAUUUUGCAGUGUUCUUAACACACUUUCCUUCAGAAAUCAUUAUUUUGUAAGAAUGUCUGAGUAAUAUAUUUUGGACAUUAUAUACUAACUUUAUUUCAUGCAGACAUGUUGAACAUUGAGACAGUUGACUGCAUUUGAAGUUUCUUUUGGUUUUUCUUUCAGAAUUUUCAUGAUAUUGCAAAUAUCUACAUUAACUUCAAAGACUCUUAUGCUCACAAAUUAACACAUGAAUUGCAUUUUAAAACCUGCUCAGUUAACAUGAUACAUUAUUACUAGUCAUACCAGUUUCAAGGAUACACUUUAGUUAACUGAACUUAUGACUUUAAAUCAUUUCUUCUUUGACUUUUUACUUCCUAGUUCUUAGACCAUUCACUUUAGAAACUGUGAAGUUAUAAGUUGUUUGGGUGUUACUUUAAGGCACAACUUUUCUAACAUCUGAGCCUUUUAUUCUGUAUCAUUGAUCUAAAUGAUUGCUUUUAUGCCAAUACCAUGCUUCCUUUUUCACUAGAGCUCUUUAGUAUAGCUUGAGAUCUAGAAAUAAGCCCUUACAACUAUAGCCAUCUAAUUUUUGACAAAGGCAUGAAAAAACCUUUAAAAAAAGACAGUCUAUUCAACACAUGGUACUGGCAAAACUGGUUAUCUACCUACAAAAGAAUAAAAUUACAUCCACUUUUCUCAACUGGAACAUAAAUAAAUUCAAAGUGCAUCAAAUACCUUAAUUUAAAACUUAAACGUUCAACAUUCUAGAAGAAAAUGUAAAUGAAAUGCUUUAAAUUAUGAGUGUAGGUAGAAAUUUUCUCAAAAUGAUUCCAAUAGUACAUGAAGUAGUACUCAAAAUCAACUGGUUAGACUGCAUGAAAUUAAAAAGUUUCUACCAGAAUAAGCAUACCAUCAGGAGGGAACAUAGACAGUCUACAGAAUGUGAGAAAAUAUUUGGCAAUUAUACUUCACACAGGGGAUUGCUAUCUGGAAUAUGUUUUUAAAAUAAUAGAAAAAUUAACCCCCCAUAUCUAAUACCAUCAAUAAAUUAAUAGCCUAAAGAAAUGAAGAGAGUUUUUAAAGAAGAAGCAUAAAUAUCCAAUACAUGCUUUUCAAAGUAUUCUGCAUUUUUAGCAGAUUAAAUGCAGAUUAAAACCUCUUGAGAUUCCAUCUUACCUAAGUAAGAAUAGUGAUGUUCAAGAAAAUAAAGGAUAAUAGUGCUGAUGAUGAUGUAGGAAAAGAGGAAGGAAUCCUUAUCUCCGGCUGGAGAGUGUACAAAGUAAUAAAACCAUUAUAGAUAAAAGAAUGGAUUUCUCUCAAAAAAGAAAAAUAGACUCAACAUAUUACCUCACUGUACCACUUCUAGGCUCUAGGAUGCUUUAGUUAGGGGUUUCUAUCAAUGUGACUGAACACUACGACUAAAAGCAACUUGGGAGUGAAUGGUUUAUUUUUCUUACACUUUCAUAUCACAGUCCACCAUUGACAGAAUUUGAGGCAAGAAUUCAAGGCAGGAACCCGAAGAAGGAACAGAAACAGAGAUCCAUGAUGGAAGGGGACUUGCUGGCUUCUACCUUGCUGCUUUAUUAGCUUGCUUUUUUGUACAACACAGCACCUCCUUUCAAAAGGUGGCACCACCUACAGUGAGCUAGCUAGUGUCUCCAAUAGAUCACUAAUAAAGAAAACUUUUCUCAAAGGCUGAGACACAAGCAAGUCAGGUGGCUGAAUUUUUCUCAAAUGAGAUUCUCUUUAUGCAACUGAUUCUGGCUUAAGUUGACAACAAGCAAAGCAAAACAAAACAAAACAAAACAAAACAAAAAACUAAUCAGGAAAAUCGACUCCACAUAACUUGACACAUCAGUAUAAAACAUUAUAUUAAACCAUAACCUUUAUUUUCUGGUUUAUCCAUGAAAUUUCACAUUUUUCUCAAAGACCUCAAUAUAAAACACAUCACAACUUUUAAAACCAGAGUGUUAAAACUUCAAACAUUAUGAAAGCUCAGUCUCUUCACAACACUCAAAGUUCCCUCAGAAGAACAAAACUCCGCGGAAGGACCUACAAUCUCUCUGAAAUACCAGCCUGUUAAAAUUACAAAAUUUCUUAAUGAUAGACUCCUGCAUUUUUUUCAAUAAAUAUUUUCUCUUCCAGGAGAGAAGAAACUGGACUAAAUUAUACUCAAACUGAAGUCCAGUAAACGUUAGAAAUCUGAGACUCACUUGUCUUCUGGGCUCCAAAGCCCGAGGCAGCCCUCCUUCCCUGCCUCUGUCAUCCACAGCACAUGCAGAUACUCUCAGGCCACCACCUCUCCACACCUGCCGCUGCUGUCCCUUGUGCCCAUCCCAUACCACUGGAAUCCCCAAAAUGUUGGAACUUGUGCUGCAAAUGGGCUGCACCAUCUCCAAAAGCCUCUCCUGAGAGCUGUAUAGAGACCCUGACCUUGGCCCAUGGUAACAAUCUUCAUCUUCUCUCUAUUACUCCUUCAAUCCUGGGGCUUUGACAUAACUGAUGCUGUACCUUUAACAAUGGGCUUUCCUGGUAUCUCAAAGUGCCAAGCAUCAGCUACUUUUCAUGACCCCUUCAUGCCUUCAAAAACCAGUGCCACCUGAGAAACUUACCUGCUAUCAAAUUCCAUUGCCAGAACAAGGUGUAGCUUUUGUAUCCUCUGGACCACAGCAUCUGUGGUUUGAUCCUGAGGAAACGCUUCCUGGAAGAUUUCACGCCAAUGAUGCUGGUCUGUUCUUAAUCACAGCUCAUACUUCAGCUUCAGCAGAUGUCCCAACACAGCCACCAUCUCACUUUGAUAAUUCUGGUCUCCUGUUAAUUUCAACUGAUUCUUCAGCACCAGGUGACCACAGACUCUUAAUUUGAAAUAUCAAAUGGUUAUGCUGGAGGAGUCCUUAAAGAAUUCUCAGAACUUCCUUUUAAAACUUCACAAGCUAGGACUCCCCUCAUCAGCAGCAUUGACAGUACUCUCAGAAUUAUCUUCUCAGUUUCCGUAAUUGCUUAUUAGACUCUGUACACUCAUUGGCUUUUCCAGGUCACAUUUUCAAAGUCCUUCCUGACUCCUCCAGUGCAAGGUUGUCAGACCUGUCACAGAAUUCUCCCACAAACCUGGUACAAAUUACCAUAUUCAGGUUUCUAUUGCUGUGAUAAAAUAUUCUGUCCAAAGUCACUUGGGGAGGAAAGGAUACAUUUCCUCUUACAAAUCCCAGGUUAUAUCAUACCACCACUGAGUGAAGUCAAGAGCAAGAACUCUAUGCUAAAACCUGGAGACAGAACCUGAAGUGGAAGACAUGGAGGAAUUCUGCUGAUCAGCUUGUUUGACCUGCUUUUUUACAUAACCCAGGACCACCUACCCAGAAGGAGGCAAUACCUACAGUGGAUGGACCCUCCCACAUCAAUCAUUAAUCAAGAAAACAUCUCACUGAUUUGUCCAUAAGCCAAUCUUAUGGACUCAUUUUUUAACACAACUAAUAAAAGACCCAGACACAGGUAUUGGGGUUCAAGCAUCAAAAUGAAGAUCACAGAAGAAAAGCAGCCAAGACAGUAGCACUUACCUCAGGCUGAAAGGACUGAUCCUGUCUCAAUGAGCUCUCCACCAAGCCUCAGAUUGCUGCCUCUUCUCAGUGUGGUGGAGAAUGAAUGCUUUCCUCUCCUCAAUAUGACUGGAGAAUGACUGCCAGCUCUGAGCUCCUGUUCCUGUCUUAAAUGCCUUUCAUGAAUGCUGGGAUUAAAGGCAUGAACUCUGUUACUCUUUUAGGCUGAUUCAACCUCAUAUAGCCCUGUGUGGCCUUGAACUCAGAGAUAUCCAUCUGCCUUUGUCUCAGGAGUCCUGGCAUUAAAGCUGUGUGCUACACCUGCCUGGCUUUUAUGGCUUACUAGUAUGGCUGCUUUACUAUUUUGAUCACUACUGGCUUUAAUAAAUCAUAAACAAUGUAUUCCCACACAUUUUCUCAAUUAUGAUUCUCUCUGCCCAGACAUGUCAAGGUUUGUGUUAAUUAAAACCAAUCAGGAAAUGGACCUUUGCACAAACAGUUCUACAUUCUACCACAGAGACAUUUGCACUUCCGUGAUUACUGCAGCAUUGUUUCAACAGCAAGGGACACAAACAGUUUAUAGACACUCAGCAACACAUGGAUGGAUAAUGAAAUGUCCCGCAUAUACACAACAGAAUAUUAUCCAUGUAUAAAGAAAAAUAAAAUGAUAUUUAGUGGAAGAUAGGUGAAUCUUGGAAGUAUUAAAUCAAGUGUUAUGAACCAGAGUCUAAAAAACAAACAUAAUAUGUUGUCUAAUUUUUAGCAAAUUAUGUAUAUGAAUGAGGUGAUUUGAAAGUAUUAAUGAGGGAAACAGAAGGAGAUGAGAGGUGCUGAAGAGGGAGAAUACAAAAGGACACUUGUGACAUGGAACUGGAAAUGCAACUGGGGGUGGCAGAGCACAAUGGUUAUAGGAGAUAUGUCAGAAAAGCGGAAAGAACAAUUAACAAUUUUCAAAAAUCUGCCAAAAUGAAAUGUAUGUUAGUAAAAACAAAUUAAAAAUGAAAAAAGUAUUUUAUUUUUCCUUGUCACUUUCACAACCCAGGAAUUUUUGUCUAAAGUACAUUUAAGCCAUUCCUUUGAGUAGAAAUUGCCAAAGAAAAUAAACCAAUGAGAUGACAGGAGCUGAACUUCAACAGUACCAAUUAACAAACACAAAUGAGCAAAUCAUAUUGACCACCUUCCAAUGCUGCAGUAAGAAUUAGAUAUCAGAACUCUGGCCUAUUUCUGUAAGGGGGGGGGUGAGUUGAAUCUUUCCUACAUAUUGAAAUCAACUGAAAUGGUUUUCUUCCCUCCUUAGAUUAUCUUAAUUUUUCUUUAGCAUUACCAUGUUUUGUUUUUUGUGAUAGUAAAUAAUCACAGGGAGAUGUGUACUUUACUUUCAAAUGGUGUACAAAGAAAUAGCCCCAGGGACAUUUUCUGAGUAAAAUUUGUAAAUAGUGUUUACUAUGUAAAGACAAAAUUAUAAUAAGCAUUUUAUGUGUAUAUUAAAAUGAUAUUAUGAAUUGAAUAUAAUAGAAACAAGUCAUUAAACCUAAAGGAUAGUAUUUAUGCAUUUGAUAUAGAUUCAAUUUUAAUUGAAACCAGUAUCUGCAAUAUGUAUUUACAUUCACAUAGUUAUGUGUUGUACAUUAACAAUUAAAUAUAGAUUAGGCAUCACUAGAAAUAUGAUAUCAUUUUGUUAUUUGAAAUUUAUUUUUAAAAAUUUUAAUUUAAAUUUUUAAAAUUUUAAGUUAUUAAGAUAGAACUUUAAAUUCUAAAAACAUUUAAAAUUGAAACUGUAAAAUGGCUCAGUGAGUAAAGGCACGUGCCUUGAAAUACUGGUGACAAGACUGGUGAUCCCCAGAAUUAUGUACAUGUCCUCUGACUUCCACAUAUGUACACACACACAUACACACACACACACACACACACACACACACACACACACACACACACACACGUUGGUUUAAAAGGUUCAAUUUAUUCAAAAAUACAUUUGAAUCUUCAUUUUUUUUAACUGUCAUAAUAGGGUCUAUUUAGUUCAGGUGUCUCUAGGUGCCUUUUGGGUAUGCUGAUGGUUUUCUUUCUUCUAAAUUCCCUCUGGAUAGACCUUAGCCCUCUUGAUAGAAAAUAAACAAAACAAAAACAUGGGUAGUUAAGCCUGUUCAGUAGCUUUUUAAAACAGCACAUGAUUCAUUUUUAAUUCAUUUUAAUUGUUCUUUGUUUUUAUUUAUUUUACUUAGAUAUUUUUAAAGUAAAAAUAUUAAUUUUUCUGUAUGUGUACUUUGGCUUUAUAUAAGCCUGUGUGUCACUUGCAUGUCUGGUACCCAUGGAGGCCAUAAAAGGGUGUUGAACCCCCUGAGACUGGAGUUAGAGACAGCUGUGAGCCUCCAGGCAGAAGUUAGCCAUUGAAUCCAGGUCUUCUGGAACAGCAGCCAUUGCUCUAAACCACUGAACCAUCUUUCCAGUGAAGCCUGCUCAGUUUUAUAGUCAGUACAACAGCUUGCCAACAUUAGCUUUUCUUGCAAAUUUCUACUAAACUUGUAGUAAGGAUGUGAACUAAUGUACGGUCCCUAAGCUGUACAGUGAAUAUACUCUAUGAGAGAUCAGUCUUUGCCAAUUUUUUUAAUAUGAAAAAGUUCCUUCAAAUAGUUUACACUUCUCCAAGUCUGACCUCAUUUGUAUAAUUAUCAAGCUGGAAAACUGAGAUGUUAUCCCAGGAAGAGUAAUUUAUCACUCAAAUGACUUUCACUACAUAUAAUUUAUAUAAAAAUGUAUGUGGGAAAAUAUAUAUUUGGGAAUAAGACAUUAAAACAGACGGUGGAAAUAAAUGUUUGAGUUGUAAAGUGGAAGACUGUUUCUAUUAUCUUUUGGCCUAGGAGCAUAUAGAUAUUCAAAAGCAGGAACUUUUCUUCUCAUUUCUUCAUUUGCUGGUUUAGAUGUUCCAUUACAGUACGUUAAGAAUGUACUAAAGCCAUAAACCCUGCAGGAGAUUAUCACAAGGCCACAUGGCUGCCAAAAUAGAGUGCUUCCUGCUUUGCAACACAGCAUCCACACAUGCAGGAGAGCAAAGCAAUGAUUCACUAAGAAUAAAAAAAGCCAUGUGCAUUAUCAUAUUAUUGAGUUGCCUGUAUUUUUUUUCUAUUUUGCUAAAAAGAAAAAAAGAUAAACAGGGUUGAAAAAUACAUGAACUUGUGCAUUAGGGAGAAAAAAGUGCCUCUUGCCAAAUUAGAAAUAUACAGCUGUACAAGUGGUUCGAAAUUCUAAGAAAAUACAUGAAAGACUAUUUGCAUAAUAGAAUGUUUUCUUAACAUAAAGCCAUUUCAUAUAAUUGCUUUAAUAAAUUCUAUAUAUCACUGAAGUUUUUAAGUUAUUUUCAUCUGUUUGUUUGUUUACACAAAUAAAGAUUAAACCCAGAACUUAGUGAAGGCUAGGCAUAUACUACUAUUGAGGAACAUACUCAGCUCCAAAAUUUUUAAACAGUUAAUAGUUUUAAUCAAAUUAGCAGAUUUCAUAGCAAAUGAUUAACUUCUUCCAAACAAUUGCAACACUUUCUUUACUCCUAGUGGUUGAGAGACAACCUUUAUAGCAGAUAAUUACUUUAAAAUCAUACAUCUAACUUAAAAUGAAUCCUAAAUGCCAUGUUUUCUUUGGCUGUGAUACUUGACCAGCAUAGAUCCUCUGUGAUUUGCACUUCCAUUUAGUAGUGAAAGGGUAUAAUUUGGCUGUGCCGUAGAGUUGACUUGGGAAGUAGCAGAGUCAUUCAGCUCCCUUCAGCAAAUUUGUGCAGUUAGGGCUGCUGAAGUCAUGGAUGUUGAUGAUCUUUUCUGACCUAGGACCUCUGAGUAAUAUAUAUUAAGUGUUGUUGAAUAUUCAACAUUGUCUCAUAUCAUGACUCAAGAACUAUCUACCUGGUUAAAUCAAGAUAACACAGAGAAUGACUUGUUUGUUCUUGCUUCUUGCCUAACUAGCUGUGGGUGGAUGCUACUUAUUUUUAUUUUUAUUUUUUUAGUUUGACUUGAUAACUUGGUUUUUCUUUCAAAAUCCUUUGAAGUUUUAAACACAAGGAUGCCACUAGGGCUGUAGUAAUGAAAUCAGUCUAUCUUUCUGAACAAUCUGUCUAACCAGAUCAACAAAUGAAAUUCUUUUGAACUGGAUGGCAUAGUACGUUUUUCUGGACCAUCACAUAAUACCAGAGUACACACUUAGAGGAGCUAUAAUUAAACCUUCAUUGGGUAUUUUUGCUGGGGAAAAAAAGAUAAAAUUAAUUUCACUACAGGAACAUUUCCUUUUCAAGUCUGAUAGAUUGAGGACCUGUAACAAGAAACUAUGAAAACAUAGUUCAACUUCUCCUGAUGCUCACCAUUAAUGAUGUUAGAAUUUUGAGAUAUUUAUUGGAAAAUAGAUUUAGGAUGUUGGAAUACGUUAUCUGUUAAAAGGAACUAAAUUACUAUGUAUGAAAUAAGCCUAACUUCCUCUUGAUGAAACUUAAUGAAAGCCCUGUUUAAUUUUCUAUUCUGGUCUUUGUCAACAGUAACAAUGGGCAUUGAUUAACACUGUUCUAUAUACACACUUUGAAAAGCCAACAUUGCUUUGCUUAAAUGAGCAACAGUAACUACCCAAUAAUAGGUAUUAGUGGAGAGGGCAUACCUUGCCAAUUGUGUCAAAAAUAAUAAAGAUUAUGAAUACACAGUCUAAAUACUUAUUAGCUGAAAAUGAAAAAGAUAUGGUUAUCAGGGAAACUGGAUUUUUUAUGACUGUUGGUCAGGAAAACCAAUAUGGAGCUUACUGUUUCCUAUAAAGUUUCAAUGUUGCAUUAGAGCUUGUGGAAAGGGCAGAGUGAAUGAACUUAGUGUGUGUACAGCCUUCUGCUAUGAGGAACUGCUGGAUCCAUUUCCCUGUGGGAAAGGAAGGCUUACACUGGUGACCAUGUGUACUCACCCAAUCUGAAAUACAGACCUACUCUCAAAGUUCUCAGAGUGGGUUUUUAAAAUGUCCACGUGAUUCUGUCCAAUGUUAGUUUGAUUGGGUCUUUUCUAUUACCUCAAGUAAUUUAAAUGCAGGAAUAAGACAAAAAAGCCUGAAUUUUUUGACAUUUUGAAGAAAUGACAAUGAUUGAGAUUAGAUACCUCUCCCUCGGUGUUUUGAAGGUGCUGUUGAAAAGUGGCAUUGCUAACCUAGGCUUUACCCUUUGCCAAGAAACAUGCAGGACCAAGAGCCAAUGUAAAGGAAGGAUAAGUUCAGUUAUCCUUAGUGUUGAUUAACAUUGAAUGGUCCCAUAUUUUGCCCAUGAGAGAGAGCUUUCUACUCACCUGAAGACUCUUGUAUGUCCUGAAAUGAAGCUUUAAGAGAGGGUCUUAACAUUUAGAAAGACAAACAUCCUACCCUCAUUGGCUGCAAUAAAUCAAAUAUCUUCACUGGGCACUGACAUUAGAGUAGAUUAUGGCAGGAGCUUUGUAUACACCAUGAGUCCCAUAAUAACUGUUUCAUGACAUCUGGAGAGACAGAACAAUCUGUAAAAUGUUUGCUGUAUAAGCAUGAUGAUUAGUGUUGUAUCACAGGAACCUGCAUAAAAGGUAGGCAUGAUGGCAGGUACAGACUCAUAACCCCAGAUUUGAGAAGUGGAGACAUAGCAUGGUAGAGAGACUGUGUCAAAAAUAACAAUGUGGACAGCAUAGGUUGUUCUUCUCAAGCACUUGAAUCAAUACACAUUCACACAUACAUGCUCUCUCUCUCUCUCUCUCUCUCUCUCUCUCUCUCUCUCUCUGGAGAGACCUAUGCAGUCUUCAUGUGGUGAAUAGCUGGGGAGAGAAAGCUACUAUGUACAUUGCCUGUACACUAUCAGCAUCCACACAUGGAACAUAAGGGAAGGCCUUGCCUUUGUUUCUCUGAGUCCAAUUCCAAAUGAGAAGACAUUGCCAUUUUUACAUGGUUGUGAGGCUUUUAGGUCCUUGAAAUGAGCAUGCCCAUACCAACAGGACACAUUCACUUAGGACUACACUUAAGGGCUUCUUUCCCUCCUCACAGAGCACCAAUUGUUCUUUCAGAACACCCUAGUUAAGUUAAAAAUGCACACCAGGGCUCACAACAAUCUUUAACUCCAUUUGGAGGAAAUUUUAUGGCAUCUUCUGGCCUUUGCAUGUACUAGGCAUGCAUGUGUGACACAGACAUACAUGCAAACCAAGUGUACUAAUAAACAUAAAACAUUUUUGAUUUAAAAUAAUGUCCUCUCUUUAUAACAAAAUCCAGAGAGAUCCUCACACUAACUGGGAGAAAUGAUAAACCAUUACAUUUGGAGUAAAAUUGACACUUUCUGUCCAAUACCAACACAUAGCUGUUAACAACACAACCACUGUUUCCCCAAAUCCUUGCCUGAUCCUCAGGGUGCCCUCAUAUACAAUGCUCCAAAAACUGAAUAUAAUUUGCUGAAGAGAAACAAAGUACAGUGGUGAAUAUCCAUAAUCCCAGAACUUGGGAAGUGUAGUUAUUCAGAUUAGGAAUACAAGAAAAACUCAGGUAUACUGUUUAAAGCCUGCUUAAGAUACACAAACCCUUGAAAAAAAAACUGAAAAAGAAGGAAAAUGCUUUGGGACAAAGAAUCAAGUUAGGGAAAUAGGUGGAUAAGUUAUAUUAAAAUAUAUGUGUGUUUAUAUUCAAGCAAUAACAACUAGAAAAAAUGAGGCUAUGAAUUUAAAGAAAAAUAAGAGGCAUUUUGGGGAGGGUUUGAAGGCAGGAAAGUGAAGGGAGUAGUGUUAUAAGUAAAUUACAGUGUCAAUGUUUUAAAAACAGAAUAUAUAUAUAUAUAUAUAUAUAUAUAAUAUAUAUAUAUAUAUAUCACUUCAUAUAUAAAGAAAGGAGUGUAUUAAAGAAGUCCUGUUUGGGACUUAAGAGAUGGCUCCUUGGUUAAAGGUCUUGCCAUGUCCUGCAUGGCUUGAGGGACAAACCUGCUAGGGAAACAAGGGAAUGAAAAAAAAAAACAGAUACCUUGAUUUGGGUGGACUAUGUCUUCUGAUGAAGUAACUGAAGCACCAUGGAAAAUUUUCAUGUUCUUCAUGUUGAAUAGGGAGGCAAUAUAUUAUAUACAAAUAAAUAAGGAGGCAAGGCUUAUGGUAUACAAAUGGACCAAGGAGACAAGUUUGGCUAAUCUGUAUGGUAGUACACACACAUACAUUAUAUAUACAAUAUAUGAUGCAUAUAUAAUAUUAUAUGCUUGUGUGUAUAUAUGUGUGUGUACACAGUGUGUAUGUGCAGGCAUGUGUGUAUGCAUGUGUUCUUGUGUGUGUGUGUGUGUGUGUGUGUGUGUUUGUUUGUUUACGUGUUGUAAGUUUGUGGAGUAUUUAUAUCUUAAAGUAUAUUCUUAACUGACAGACUCUUUACAAAUUGUCCCCUCAAAAGGUAUAGAGUCAAGUGAAUACUACUUUGACAAAUGGCAGUUUUGUCCUGUCCUUAAAAUGAUAUAAAACAUUCUCCUGACUAACACGAAGAAUACCCUCCUCUUGUUUGAGUCUACAGAGAUUCAUGAGGUCAGAGAAAGAAAAAUAAUAACGAAAAAAAUUAAGUUGUGUGAUUAGUCAGAAUUAAAUAGAAUAUCUGUUAAAGGCAUUAGGGAAAUGUCUGGAGAGCUACAAAGAUGACACCAACUAACAAUCUAGGCAACAGAGAAGAGGCUACCUAAAGUGCCCUCUCCUAAUAAUGAGAUUGAUAACUGACUUAUAUGCUAUCAUAUACCCUUCAUCCAGCAGCUGGUGGAAGUAGAAGCAGACACCCAUAGCUAAUCACUGAACUGAACUGGAAUCCAGUUGCAGACAAGGAUGAGUGAUGAGCAAAGGGGUCCAGACAAAGCUGGUGAAACCCACAGAAACAGCUGACCUGAGAAACUGGGAACUCUUGGUCCCCUGACAGAUAGCUGGGAAACCAGCAUGGAACUGAUCCAGACCCCAGGAAUCUGGGUGUCAGUGAGGAGACCUCCAAAAUCCAUGGGGCCUUCUAUAGUAGAUCAGUACUUAUCCCUAGCAUAGGUGUGGACUUUGUGAGAUCAUUCCACAUAGAGGGAUGCUCCCUGGCUAAGAAAAACAGGGGUGGUCCUAGGCCCUAUCCCAAAGGAUAUGACAGACCCUGAAUACCCCCUAUGGAAGGCAUCACCCUCCCUGGAGAGCAGAAAGGACAUGUGAUAGGUAGGGUUUUAGUUAAGGGGUAGGGGAGGAAGAGGGAACUGGGAUUGUCAUGUAAAACAAUCUUGUUUCUAAUUCGAAUAAAAGUGGGAAAAAAAGAAUACCUGUUAGAAACUAUGGAGAGGCCACUUAUUUUCCAAAGUCCUUCCAUAUGAACCCACCCUCUUUAAAAUUCAUUUCUAAACAAGAAUUUAAAAUGAUUAUAUAUUCUCUACCACCUGUCUUUCAUUAUGAAUACUCAAUUUAUGAUAAAUAUUUUGCAUACUUAUAUGAAAAUUAUUUUUCUUGGUAAAUAUUUCCAUGAAAUGUUAGUUCAAUUAAGAAUUUUUACAGGUUUCAAUAAUGUGUUCUGGAAUGGUGCCAAAAGUGUCUUAGAGUUAUUCUGUACAAAUUAUCAUUUUCAUAUAGCAUUAUGAUGUGUAAUAUUCUUACAUGCAUGUGCAUGCAUACAUCUUUACGAGUGACUUACAGUAGGAAUUAGGAUACUAGGAUAUAAACAGUUCAAGAAGAUAUAUUUAUUCAGCUUAGCAUGGAAAGGUUUUACUGGUAGGUAAUUAAUUCUGUCACUAUUUCACUGAAGAAGUAGAUUUUUAUGGACAUUUGUUGAUAGUUUAUGUUGGACUAUAGUCUGUUCUUUCUUAGUGUUAUAGCUAAUAAUAUUUAUGUUUCUUAAAACUUUUAUAUCAUGUGUAACUUUUCACCAAGAGCUUUUAAUAAUAUGGAAAUAUGAAUACAAAUUAUGAUGCUAUAUCUUUUAUUACCUUAUAAUUUCAUUGGUAACAUUCUUUAUUCAACUAUUGAACAAGGAAUCAUAAAUAAGUCCCCAAAUUUCUUGGUAUUGGAUAUUAUUAUUCCCAAUCUAGAAUGUUUACCACCACUACUUGUCUUUGGUAAUAUUGCAUGUAUUUACUAAGUUUUAGGCAAACUCUGCUAUUUUCUAUAUCACAUUGACAAGACUCCCUCAGAUGGAGUUCAUUUUCCUUCAUCUUUUCUACUGAGGGCUAGAGCAGGAACCUUAGAAUUUUUCCCCUUGUUUUAAAAAGAAUCAUUUUCCAUUGGAAUACGAAUAGGAUUUCGGUUUAUUAAGGUACACAUAAUAUACACAUAAUUAAAUGUUUGAACACAUGGUUUUAACACACAAUCUUCUGAUUUGGAAUCAAAUAUGCUAUCAUUGAGACAAAAAGCAUCUUUGUAGGACUCUGAACGAUUGGAACAAGUAGUAUCUGGCUCCCUUGCCUGCUUCUGAUUUCCUCUUGUUGGGUGUCUUAUACAGCCUUGAUAGACAGGAUGAAUUCUGUCUUUUCUUAUUCUAUCUUGUUUUGGCCUAUUUGACUGUCAUCUCUUGAAUGUCUAAUCUUUUCUGAAGAGAAAACAAAAUGGUUGGGAGUAGAUCUGGGGGAGAAGGGAGGUAGAGGAGGGGAUCUAGGAGAUGUGGAUGGAGGGCAAACUGUGGUUAAGCUAUAUUGCAUUAGAGAAGAAGCUAUUUUUAAAGGGGAAAAUGUUGAAUUUUAUUCCAGUCUUUGAUAUAAUUUUUGCCUUAUAUUUUUCUCUUAAUGUUGACAAAGCAAACUCUCUUACUCCUGACAGAUGAAAAAAAUAUUGUUGGGUUCCAAAAGUCAAUUGUGAGCUUAUUUUACAUGUAAUUUAAAUAAGUAUGAAUGAUUUAGUGUAAUUCAGAACUUUUCUUCAGUCACCCAUCACAUAUGGCUCUAAAAGCAAUGUGAUUGAGUAGGAGGUGGUAAAAAUUCCUUGUUCUUGAGUUUUCCUUUUGAGUGGGUGUCUCAUUCUCAAGUUGCUGUAGCAUACCACAAAGUAGGUGAAACAGACAACAUAAAUGUACUUCUCACAAUUUUGGAACUCUGGGAAGUCUGAGAUGAAGAUCAGAGAGGUUUUCAUACUCUGGUUUAUAGAUGAGGGCUUCCUCCUGCAAACUCACAUGGGAACAGAAGCAAGGUGUUCUAAGUCUUAUUCUUGAUGGACAGUUAGUUACAGUAGUAGAACCUUUCAUGACACAAUUGUUCAUGACCAGGGAGCUAGGUUACAGGACAUUGUGUUCACCAAAGUAUGGCCUUUGGCACUGUCCCAUUUUGUUGUCUCAUACCAAAGAAGGUAAGUGACAUGGACUCUCCUAUGAGUAAGCAAAGCAGAUGCAAGCUUUAUUAAGAAUUAUUACAGAAUAGCAAGAAACUGAAGAAACAUGAAAAAUUUAAAAAUGUACUUCAAGAGAAAAUCUUGAGAGGGACAGGGUUCCAAGAAAGAAGAAAGCUUUUAAAUUUUCUUUUAAGUAGCCACUAAACAGAGGCUGAGGUUGAUAAAUUCCCUGGGAUAUCAUGGGCUGAGACAAUGUAGGGCUCACACAUACAAAGCCUAGAAAACAAAUGAAAUUUACAAGACUUGGAAUAUGCAGAAUGUUACAAGAAUCAUAAGGCACCUCUCCAAGGUUGUAUGAGCAUUGUGAAUUGCAGAGAGAAAAGAACUGCCUAUACACAAAUGAUCCGAGGGGCAGCUUUUGUUAGUCAGAUCCAAGUGUUGGAUGAGCUUUUUUGUGAUGCAGUUGACUUUGAGCAAGCCAUGUCCUUGUGAGUUGCACCUCAGCUAUAACCCAAUCAAUGUCAUUGAUUGACUAAAUUUAAAUUCCACAUUGAUAGAAUCCUUUCUUUGUCCUAUUGUCAAUGUCCUGGCUAUCUAUAUGGUAUCAAAAGAUAUCAUGUUUUCCAGGAAAAAAAUCACACAACAAGAUUUUUCACCCUACAUAGUAAGAGGGGUCAAUUCUUUAGUUUAAUAAUAUUUUUUUCUGACAAUUAAGUAUGUGUGGGCAUGUUUGUGAAUAGUUUUAUUGCCUUCUGUAGCUUAGCUCUGAGUACCACAGAGUGAGUAAUUUAAAAGAUGAAAAUGAUCUAGUUUACAGUCUACUGACUUAAAGUUCCAUCAUUCUAACACUCCCUUUGUGAGAAUAAAAAUCAGUACACCUGAUUUGCUCCUGAAUCCCACAUGAUGUUGCAGGGAGAAGCCUUCAUCUGUAAACCAGAGUAUGAGAACAUCUGUGGCCUUCAUCUCAGACUUCCCUGAAUUCCAAAACUGGGAGAAGUACAUUUCUGUUUUCUGUGUCACUUAAUUUAUGCUGUUAUUGCUACAGCAAGUUGAAGAGAAUUUGAUACUAAGGCUGUGGGAACUAGUAAGAAUCUGCUUACUACAUUAGAACAUGAUCCAGAUUUUGCCACUGUGAAACAGUAAAAGGUGUUUUGACCAAAACUCCAACACUACAUGAAAACUUCAAAUCAAGUAACAACUCUAGCUUUUCAUUAAAUAUUUAACUCCAAAGGGAAGUAAGGUUUUGGGGACCGAGUUUCUCUGUAUUGGAUUGGAGCCUGCCUGGGAUCCCCUGCUGUAGACCAGGCUGGAUUUGAACUCACAGAGAUCUACCUGCCACUGCCUCCUGAGUGCUGGGAUUAAAGAACAUUUCUUUGAAGCUUUCAUCACUGAGCUCAUCCUUCAGAUUCAUACUCAGUAUGUUCAGGGGACUCGGCCAAGAUCUCUCUGCCCUUGCUGAUCCAGAUUCACAAUGUUCAAGCAAAGAUUGCUGCUCUCAGACAUGGUCCCAGACAAGAAGAAAAAUAACUCAUGUGGAUUUAGAAGAUGUUUGUUGGAGCAUAAGAAGAGAAACAAGAGUAGAAAAGAAAUAACUAUGAGGUGAUAACACUGUUCAGAAAAUUUAACACUGAUGACCAGGUGGUACAAAUAUUUAUGAUAAUAACCCCUGAAUUGUAUACUUUAAUGGGUGAAAUGUAUGAUAUGCCUUAUAUAUGAAAAUUUUUAAAUUAUGAAAGAGGAUAUAAAAUAUGCUUAUAAAAUAUACUACACAUACCAUAUUAUAAUAACAAAUUCCAUAAGGUCCCAAACAGCAUAAUUUUUCAAACUACACAUGAAUAGCUAAAGUAAAGCCACAUAUUACACAUUCUUAUGAUUGGAAAAGAAAACUGAAGCCAAAAUAAUAAUAAUGAAAUAAUUUAUAUAGUAUUGUACAAUAAGUAACUAGAUAAAAUUACAUAUUUUUUUCUUAAUUUAUGUAAAAUUUAAUAUCUAGGGUUGUCUCUAACUUAAGAUAUUUUCUACUUCGAACACUGCAUAAUUUGUUUACAUGAUAAUAUUAUUUUGUAGCUUUCAUUAGCUGAAAGUCACUUGGGUAUACUCAUUUGUUAAAAUUCAGUAGUUAUAUAUUUAUAACAUACGUGCUUUUACUCUGUAAAUGACUGUGCACAUAAAUAAAAUGAUUAAAAAGUGUUUAUGGAGAUCAUUCUAUUUUAUGAACUGACCUUUUGCCAUCUUGUGUCAGAAUUUAUCUCUUUAUUGCUUCCCAUCCUAUUUAAUGUUCUUAGCCACAUUUUAUCAAUAGCUUUUUAGUCAUUUAUAAGUAUUGCAUAAUGCUUGCAACUAUUUUCAAUGGGAUAAUAUUUUUCCUUUUAUGUUUCUAACAAGUUAUUAAAAUUAUGGAUAAAGCAUUCACUUUUAUAUCUCAAUCUGAUGUAUAGCCAAUUUUCCAAAGUCUUAUUAAUUUUAAUAAAUUAUCUCAGUUUUCUUGUAUUGCAGCUAUAUGUUUUGAGACUGAAGAGUGGUGUAGCUGGGAUUGAUUUUCAUUAAAUGUGUGCAUGAUAACACUGCAGACUGGCAACACGGGAGAUGCUGGAACCUCUAGAGGGAACUUCCUGGUGGGAACUUAUUAGGUUCCUGGGGAAAAUGUUUUGGAAGUCACUUGUGUUCAUCUGUUUCUAGAUCUUAGGCCUCUGAUCCCUGUAUUCAAAGAAACUGUUUAAUCUCCCCUGCAUUUCCACACUGACAUGUUGUUCUUUCCAGUCCCCAGGUAAGUGGUCCUAGACAUGAAGAAUUUUUGAAACUUUAAAUGUAAAUUAACCUCCUCACAAAUUACCUCAUGUAUUUUAAUUGUGUCAGGAAGCUAACAAAUAGUAAUGGGAUUUUUAAAAUUAAUUUAUUUUACUUCUUGUAAUUGCAUUCUAUUUUUACUUCAUUGUCCAAUCUAAAGUUUUACAAGUAAAAUCUUAACUGUCAGUGUUAUAAAUUCUGUUUUUGUUGUUGUUGUUAAAUGUGAAUUUUGUUUUAAAAAAACUGUUUGUUGUUGAGUGUUGACAUUUAUUAUAUUCUCUGUGUAAUUCCCUUACAUUUUAUUAUUAAUGGCUACUGAGUUGUGUUUGAUUAUUUGAAUCAUUUACUGACUUAACUAAAAUUAUUUCAUUAAUAUGUAUUCAUCAAACUCGCAUAGAUUCCUGUAUACUGUGAUUACAGUGGCAAGUUAAUCCAGACAUGUAUGCCAGCAACAAGUAUUUUUAUAUUAUGGCACAAAUACUGUGGAUUGUUUUUCCAGGUGUAUAAAAGAUAAAAUGAUUGAUGACAUGAAUUUCAUGAUAUUUUAGGAAGGAAAUGUUGCUAAUACAAUGACCCAAAUGUAGAGCAGAUUACAUAUAUUGUAGCACAAAAAAAUGAAAGACCCAGAAACAGAUAAUGGGACUCAAGCUUCAAUAUGAAGAUCAGAGAAACAAAGCAGCCAAGUCAGGUGAUCUAACUUCUACCAAGCUGAAAUGGCAAUCCUUUCUCCAUGAUUCUUUAGAUGGAGGUUCUGUUCCACUUGGUCCCACAGCCAUUUAGUCCCAAAUAAACACACAGAGGCGUAUAGUAAUUAUAAGCUGUUUGGCCGAUGGCUCAGUCUAGCUCUCCCUUAAAUAUUAACCAAUUUCUAUUAAACUAAGUAUUUCCACAUAGUCUAGGCUUACCUGAGAAUGCCUGGACUUGUUACUCCUUCGGCAGCUAUAUGGCAUCUCUCUAGAAGCUCACUCUUUAUGUCCUUUUCCCAGAAUUGUCCUCAUGGGGGAGCCUGGCCUAUCUUUCCUGCCUGGCUACUGGCCAUUCAGUGUUUAAUUCAUCAACAAAUAAGACAAACAUAUACUAGCAGAAUACAGAAGGACAUCCCCUAUUACAAAUCCUCAAAGGCAAAAGCUCUCAGUUCCUGUCUCCUCCUGCCUCUUAUUCCUUUUUCCACCUAGCCAUAUCAUUCCUGUCUAUACCUCCUUAGUGCUGGGAUUAAAUGCAUGUGAUCCUGGGUGCUGAGAUCAUCUUUGUAUGAGCUGUUUCUUUUAGGACUGGAACAAUUUCGUGCAGUCAGCAUGGCCUUGAACCAACAGAGAUCCUUUUACUUCUUAAUCCUGAGUCAAGGGAUUAGAGGUGUGUAAGACCACUGCCUAGCUCUAUGGAUGUCAGAUUAAACAUAUUAUCACUGCCCGAUCUGAACCCCCAGUCAAACUUUAUUAAAUAAUAAAUAAUAUAUCACCACAAUAUUUACAUAGUGAGCUGAAGGAAUGUUUGUGCAGAUAACUAGAGUGGGUAGGGAAGAUAUGUUCAAAGGAGAUAUAUGGAGACUUGGUCGGCCCAAAUCAUAUAUCCCAUGUGAGUUAGGGUGCAGUGAAUUAUGCAAAUAUGCUGACAAGUGCUGAGACACCCUUAAUUCUCCUAUAAUAAACUUUCUUUUGGUGGAUUAUUCAGAUAGUACACACCAAGAUUCCUUUAAUAUUAACUUACGUAUCUUGAUGAAGAGCAAUGAUAAAUACUUUUUGAACAGGAUUUCUGAGUUUUGAUUUUAUACUCCCUUUAGUUUACAGAAUUAAAAGGUUCAGGUGUUUUUUUAUAUGAACAGAUGAAAAGCUCAUCCUUUUGAGGACUGGUUAGGUGAGAUAUGCCAUUGAAAAGCCUCUCCCCCUGAAAGGCUGCAUGGACUUAUCAACCCUCCAUUAAAUUUUCACAUGAUCAAUAAGUCUAAUUCUUACAAUGUAUAUUCUCUUUAUUUGUGUGCUUAAUUAUUUUACAUUAUCCUAGAGUUUUCGAGAUUUUGCCAGUCAAUCAUCAAGUAUGUAAAGAUAUCAAAAAUCUUGCUGGGCACUGGUGGCAGAUGCCUUUAAUCCUAGCACAAGGGAGGCAGAAGCAGGCAGAUCUCUGUGAGUUCAAGGCCAGCCUGGUCUCCAGAGGAAGUGCCAGGAUAGGCUCCAAAUCUACACAGAGAAACCGUGUUUCAAAGCAAACAAACAAACAAAAGUCAAAAAUCUUUCUUUAUUGAAGUGACAGGGUAUUGAGCCUCAUAAACUAAUGUUAGUUUUAAUCUUCGUGACUGUAAUUGUAUAUACUUUUCAGUGUAAUGGGGCUAUUAGCUAUUUCUUUGUAAAUUUCUACUUUCUAAAGUGUCUCACUAUAUUAUUUUCAUUAUAUUUAUUACUUUAUAGUUUUGGAAAGUUUGCUAAAAAACCUCUAUUCUGAAAAAAACGUGUCAACUUCAUGUUUUAAAAAUCCAUCUGUUUUGUUCUUGUUUCUCUUUACCUUAAUUUGAAUUUAUUGUUGAAUUAAUUAUAAAUUAUUUUUCUAAUUUAUGUACAUAUUCACUUUCAUUUCACACACACACACACACACACACACACACACACACACACACACACACACACACACAAACUUGGUUAGUAGUACCCUUUAAGUUUUGUCAUGCUAUCUUCUUGAUUUUCAAUAUGUCAGUCAGAGAUGCUAUUUUGUUAUCUCCUAAUGUCAUGGUAAUUUUGUUUUACAACAUUGUGUGUUUAUGAUUAUCUAAUAUUUUAAACUGUAAAAUUUAAAUUCCUUUUGGAUUGAUAGAAGAGAUCUUCGGUAUAGUGAUUUCUGCUUGGAUGUACAAGCACUAUGAACCAUUUUAUAAAUAAAUGAUUAAAUUACAGUUUGAUAUAUGUUAAUUCAUGAGAAAAUUUAAAGAACAUUGUAUUAUCUUGAAUAUAGUUAAUCAUGCAGAAGUAUUAAAUGAGUGUAGACAUUGAAGAGAGGAAGCUGACAAAGGUAGAUUAAAAUGGAAACUACUUUCAUAUCUCUUUCAUUGCCAUAAUAUUUUAAUUCUUUUCUAAAAUUUUGAAACUUUAAGAAUAAUUGGUAACCUCUAAUACAUAUUGAAGUGGAAAUAUAUUCAGGGUAAAAACUCAAAGAAAAUGAUUACAUAGUUAUCAAUAUUAAAUCCUAUUUUAACUGUCAUUCUUGGAAAACUUAGAAAAAAUAGACAUUCACAGCUCCUAUUGAGAAAAUUACUUAAUUUUUUAUUGAAAUCCUUAAUUUUAAGACCUAAAAUUACAAGCUAAAGAGCUCCAUAUGCAAAACCACAUUUCAGUUUGAAAUAACUAAAAACUCACGCAAUAAUAAAAUGAAUUAACCAGUUAACAAUGAAUUUAGAGAAAAGAAAAUACAUUUACUGAAUUAACAAAUGCAGCAUAAUUGCAAGCAAUCCAUGCAUACUUACACUGUGCUGAUUGCACGUAGAUUAUAUGAUUUAACAUGAAAAUAAUCUAAUACAAUAGUUAUUAAUACCUGAAUUUAACAAAGCAAAAUGGAAAGCACAGAAGUGCUUUACAAGUUUGCUGUUUUUCAACCAAGUCAAGCUGUCUCCUAUUAUAUCUGUUCAAGCAAUAUCACCAAUGCUAAAGCACAACUUGUUAAAUACGGGAAUUUUAUAAUGUUUUAAAACAGAAGCUAAUCCUGUGAAUACAAUACCUGUAUUCAUGAAUUUUAUUAUGUUUUCAACAGUACUGGAGGGGAAAUCCAGGGCCUCCCAUGUAUUAGGCAUGUGUUCUGCUGUAUCAGGUCCUCAGCUCCUGGCUAUUUUCUUUUAAUUAAUGAAAGUUAUUUCCUAAAAUAAAAUAAUAAAAAUUCAUUCACACUUUUCUCACCUUUAUUGUGUGCCAGAAUCUUUGUAAACACAUAUUGGUUUAUUGAUAUUUUUCCUAAGAAAGAAAAGUGACAAUUGCGGUUACUUAUCAUGUUGAUUCUCUUGUGGUUAUAGAUGAGGAAUUUGAGGUACACAAAGUUAAAUUUCUUGUGUAUGGUUUCAAAUCAGGUUAAAACAGCUAUCAGGUAGCAGAUACUUUUGGAGAAUGGAAUUAAAACAGUAGGAGUAAUAUAUAAAAAUUCUGUUUAUUAUCUCUUCUUUUUAAUAUGUAUUACUAAGUUUCAAGUGUCCAUAAUAUGGGUCUUUCCUGAUAAGCCUGUCACAGUCAUUUCAAAUGUUUCCUGCUCUAACCAUUAAAAAGAGACUAUCCAUUGGAGUCAGCUGUCCAAUGUCAGCCCAAUGGAUUAAAGUUGUGUUUCUGAAAGCCACUUAAUAUUAACAGAGAAUAAAGAAAAAAUAUUAUCCACAAAUAGAGUCAAGGAUAAUAAACCUGAACUAUUAUAGAGGAAAACUAUAAUAGUUUUGGGAACUAACAAAGACCCUGCCAUGGGUGGGAUGACCUGCGGUUGUGUUUGAUUCCAUGGCAGAUGCUCUUUGUAGAUAAUCUGCACUUUUAGGUGACAAGCUGUUGAAAUUUAUCUAUUUACAAUGAACUCAAAGUCUGAUAAGAAUUAAAAAGCUGUCUUUAAGUGGUUGGAAAGCAAAUUCAAUGAAAUGUUAAUCAUUAAUUUUACCAUGGCAUUCAUAUAAUUUCUUAAGCUUUCUUCUACUGAAUAUACUCUCUAUAGAAAUCAAUAAAGACUUCUAAAUAAUUUGAAAACCCACUGUUUUUCAUUUUAUGUGUUGAUGUGAGUGUAUGCAUUUAUGUUUGAGCACCAUGCACAUGUCUGGUACCCAAUAAGGAUAAAAGAAGUUGUCAAAUCCCUUGGAACUGGAGUUACAGACAGUUGUGAGAUAUGUGGGUGCUGGCAACCAAUGAAGUUUUUCAUGAAAGCUGAA